GUGCAGCUUAUCACCAAGCUAAUGGAGGUUAGUCUGAAACAUAUGCUCAAACCUCUUUUCUGUCACAUUUUGGGUCAGUUUGAAUGAUUAGGUUAACUGGUCUAGUUGUUGUUAUGUUUUUCUGGUUCUGUAUUGUCGAUUUUGUUUGGCCGUGAUAUUAUUGAUUGUAACAGUUAAGAGCUGCAGCCUGCAGUCCCGAGUGAUGAAAACUGUAGCAAUCUCUCAUUUCAUCUACUUCUCCUUCUCCUCAUCAAAGAGAGUGGUUCCCUCAUUUCUUCUAGUCUCUCCAGUCUUUGUAUAAUUCUAAAUGUACUGAAACAAGCAAGAAGUAUGAAGGACAAGUUUGAGAAGUACUGGG
Molecule: long non-coding RNA, 358 nt
Filed under: Capsella grandiflora
Lineage: Eukaryota; Viridiplantae; Streptophyta; Magnoliopsida; Brassicales; Brassicaceae
Description: long non-coding RNA (CGRA_LNC001042)
Source: RNAcentral